RNAcentral lists this ribosomal RNA (385 nucleotides) under uncultured bacterium. RNAcentral's name for it is "bacterial SSU rRNA". It matches the Rfam family "Bacterial small subunit ribosomal RNA", at positions 355 to 737 of the family's 1533-position model. The record is from RNAcentral.
UGAGGAAUAUUGGUCAAUGGGCGCAAGCCUGAACCAGCCAUGCCGCGUGCAGGAAGACGGUCCUAUGGAUUGUAAACUGCUUUUAUUUGGGAAUAAACCUAUCUACGUGUAGAUAGCUGAAGGUACCAAAUGAAUAAGCACCGGCUAACUCCGUGCCAGCAGCCGCGGUAAUACGGAGGGUGCAAGCGUUAUCCGGAAUCAUUGGGUUUAAAGGGUCCGCAGGCGGGUUUAUAAGUCAGUGGUGAAAGCCUACAGCUCAACUGUAGAACUGCCAUUGAAACUGUAGAUCUUGAAUUCGGUCGAAGUGGGCGGAAUAUGACAUGUAGCGGUGAAAUGCUUAGAUAUGUCAUAGAACACCGAUAGCGAAGGCAGCUCACUAGGCCUG